CUCACACCAAAUUUAAUAGCCAUGGCAUACAAGAAAGUAGUGCUUGGUCUCUUUACCCUGGCCUUGUUCCUCGUGGCACAUUAUGUGGAGGCGGUGGAUGUGUGCACGACGAGGAACUGGUAUUUCUAUGGCCCGUGCAUGAGCAACAAGAAUUGCGCGGCUUCGUGCAUCCAACAUGGCAUUGGCGGCGGUGGCUACUGCUCCCCCUGGAGACGAUGCAAAUGUACACUUCAGUGUCCUUGGAGAAAAAUGACGCUAGCCGGGAUCGGGUUGACACAUGGCCGGGACAAGCCGGAACCCUUGGACAAACCUAGCAUGGAACUAUUCAACUGAGUGUUGCAUAUAUCUAUAUGAAGUUCACCGAUGGAAUUGAAUAAGAGAAUAACACCUGUAGUUAUGAUGUUGUAAGCAAUAAUUGCGCAAAAAUAAUUUAGAAACGAUGAACCAACCUGGCAGUAUUAUUUU
Long non-coding RNA from Sorghum bicolor (sorghum), 465 nucleotides. RefSeq lists it as uncharacterized. Lineage: Eukaryota; Viridiplantae; Streptophyta; Magnoliopsida; Poales; Poaceae. The record is from RefSeq and is a predicted model, not a curated record. The transcript has 2 exons.